AAAAACGCGAAGAACGGACUUAGUAUCAUUCAGUGUUCUUUAAGAGAGUCAGUGGCUGCUGAGAACUGACAGAAGCUGAGUGAGAAUCCAUCCCGGAGCGGCUGGUGAUGAAUCAGUACGGUACCUCUCCGUUACGGAGGUCGAGCCGGAAGAGUGUAUGCUCUUCAAUCGGGGUGGUAUCGCGGGAAGCUAGACUCUCGUCCCUUUU
This 208-nucleotide non-coding RNA is filed under the name Salimicrobium flavidum. RNAcentral describes it as "T-box sequence". It matches the Rfam family "T-box leader". Rfam says of the family: Uncharged tRNA acts as the effector for transcription antitermination of genes in the T-box leader family. T-boxes are found upstream of many aminoacyl-tRNA synthetase genes and some amino acid biosynthetic genes usually in Gram-positive bacteria. Lineage: Bacteria; Bacillati; Bacillota; Bacilli; Caryophanales; Bacillaceae. The record is from RNAcentral.